GACAGAGGCCUCAAGCGUUAGGCGGAAUCACUGGGCUUAAAGCGUGUGUAGGCGGAUCGUUAAGUGUCUUGUGAAAUCCCACGGCUCACCCGUGGAACUGCUGGGCAUACUGGCGAUCUUGGGCCAACUAGGGGCAACUGGAACAAGCGGUGGAGCGGUGAAAUGCAUAGAUAUGUCUCAGAACACCGAUUGCGAAGGCAGCUUACUAUGGUUUUAUUGACGCUGAGGCACGAAAGCGUGGGGAUCAAACAGG
Molecule: ribosomal RNA, 253 nt
Filed under: uncultured bacterium
Lineage: Bacteria
Description: partial 16S ribosomal RNA
Rfam family: Bacterial small subunit ribosomal RNA
Source: RNAcentral